Molecule: ribosomal RNA, 1917 nt
Filed under: Triticum aestivum (bread wheat)
Lineage: Eukaryota; Viridiplantae; Streptophyta; Magnoliopsida; Poales; Poaceae
Description: partial small subunit ribosomal RNA
Source: RNAcentral
AUGGCCGAUUCGCCGAACCCUAGCCCCGGGGACCUCCCCUCGGCCGCCGGGAGCUCGCCCGAGAAGCCGCAUCCCGCGGAUCGACGCGUCGCGGCGCUCGCCGGCGCGGGCGCGAGGUACAAGGCCAUGUCCCCCGCGCGGCUGCCGAUCUCGCGCGAGCCCUGCCUCACCAUCCCCGCCGGCUUCAGCCCCUCCGCCCUCCUAGACUCCCCGGUGCUCCUCACUAACUUCAAGGUUGAACCUUCACCAACAACUGGUAGUCUGAGCAUGGCUGCAAUCAUGCACAAGAGUGCUCAUCCAGACAUACUGCCUUCGCCACGGGAUAAGUCUAUUCGAGCCCAUGAAGAUGGGGGUUCUAGGGAUUUUGAAUUCAAGCCUCAUCUGAAUUCGUCUUCUCAAUCACUGGCUCCUGCUAUGAGUGAUCUAAAAAAACACGAGCAUUCUAUGCAAAAUCAGAGUAUGAAUCCCAGCUCAUCAUCUAGCAAUAUGGUGAAUGAAAACAGACCUCCCUGUUCACGCGAGUCAAGUCUUACAGUGAAUGUAAGUGCUCCGAACCAACCUGUUGGAAUGGUUGGUUUGACUGACAACAUGCCUGCUGAAGUUGGUACAUCUGAGCCGCAGCAGAUGAAUAGUUCUGACAAUGCCAUGCAAGAGCCGCAGUCUGAAAAUGUUGCUGACAAGUCAGCAGAUGAUGGCUACAACUGGCGCAAAUAUGGGCAGAAGCAUGUCAAGGGAAGUGAAAACCCUAGAAGUUAUUACAAGUGCACACAUCCUAAUUGUGAAGUAAAAAAGCUAUUGGAGCGUGCGGUUGAUGGUCUGAUCACGGAAGUUGUCUAUAAGGGGCGCCAUAAUCAUCCUAAGCCCCAGCCUAAUAGGAGGUUAGCUGGUGGUGCAGUUCCUUCGAACCAGGGUGAAGAACGAUAUGAUGGUGCGGCAGCUGCUGAUGAUAAAUCUUCCAAUGCUCUUAGCAACCUUGCUAAUCCGGUAAAUUCGCCUGGCAUGGUUGAGCCUGUUCCAGUUUCAGUUAGUGAUGAUGACAUAGAUGCUGGAGGUGGAAGACCCUACCCUGGGGAUGAUGCUACAGAGGAGGAGGAUUUAGAGUUGAAACGCAGGAAAAUGGAGUCUGCAGGUAUUGAUGCUGCUCUGAUGGGUAAACCUAACCGUGAGCCCCGUGUUGUCGUUCAAACUGUAAGUGAGGUUGACAUCUUGGAUGAUGGGUAUCGUUGGCGGAAAUAUGGACAGAAAGUUGUCAAAGGAAACCCCAAUCCACGUUUACAUGUCAGAUCGGAUCAACGCAUCAUCGGCUUUCCCUGCACCUCCUCCAAGAGGCAAAUGAAUUCAUGGAGUUACUACAAAUGCACAAGCACAGGAUGCCCUGUGAGGAAGCAUGUUGAGAGAGCAUCGCAUGAUCCUAAAUCAGUGAUAACAACGUAUGAAGGAAAACAUAACCAUGAAGUCCCUGCUGCGAGGAAUGCAACCCAUGAGAUGUCUGCACCUCCCAUGAAGAAUGUCGUGCAUCAGAUCAACAGCAAUAUGCCCAGCAGCAUUGGGGGCAUGAUGAGAGCAUGUGAAGCCAGGAACUUCACCAACCAAUAUUCUCAAGCGGCUGAAACCGACACCGUCAGUCUUGACCUUGGUGUUGGGAUCAGCCCGAACCACAGCGACGCCACAAACCAAAUGCAGUCUUCAGGUCCUGAUCAGAUGCAGUAUCAGAUGCAAUCCAUGGCUUCGAUGUACGGCAACAUGAGACAUCCAUCAUCAAUGGCAGUGCCAACGGUACAAGGAAACUCUGCUGGCCGCAUGUAUGGUUCCAGAGAAGAGAAAGGUAACGAAGGGUUUACUUUCAGAGCCACACCGAUGGACCAUUCAGCUAACCUAUGCUAUAGCGGUGCUGGGAACUUGGUCAUGGGUCCAUGA